Long non-coding RNA from Telopea speciosissima, 270 nucleotides. RefSeq lists it as uncharacterized. The record is from RefSeq and is a predicted model, not a curated record. The transcript has 2 exons. NCBI's taxonomy places the organism in Eukaryota, Viridiplantae, Streptophyta, Magnoliopsida, Proteales, Proteaceae.
GUUGAUUGAGGACCAGUUCAGUAGGCUUCAGAUUCGAGAACGACAAUAACCUAGAAUCAAACAAUACAGGGAGGUAUCUUUUCAGUUUUCAUGGGUGGGACAGGAAUGGUAGAAGAUGAAGGGAAUAUACUCCAGAAGGGAAAGAUGGGAAAGACUAGGAGAAACGGUAAGAAUGAAUGGGUCAAUAGAGAGGACUGCCGAUUCCAGAGAGGUGACCGAUAGAGGAGUGGAGGACUUAAACCUUGAAUUUUAGAAGGUUAAGAAGAAAAA